ACGGGAGGCAGCAGUGGGGAAUAUUGGGCAAUGGGCGAAAGCCUGACCCAGCAACGCCGCGUGAAGGAAGAAGGUCUUCGGAUUGUAAACUUCUUUUAUGAGGGACGAAGGACGUGACGGUACCUCAUGAAUAAGCCACGGCUAACUACGUGCCAGCAGCCGCGGUAAUACGUAGGUGGCAAGCGUUGUCCGGAAUUACUGGGUGUAAAGGGAGCGCAGGCGGGAAAUCAAGUUGGAUGUGAAAUGUCGGGGCUUAACCCCGGAACUGCAUCCAAAACUGAUUUUCUUGAGUGAAGUAGAGGUAGGCGGAAUUCCGAGUGUAGCGGUGAAAUGCGUAGAUAUUCGGAGGAACACCAGUGGCGAAGGCGGCCUACUGGGCUUUAACUGACGCUGAGGCUCGAAAGUGUGGGGAGCAAACAGGAUUAGAUACCCUGGUA
This is a ribosomal RNA of 437 nucleotides. It matches the Rfam family "Bacterial small subunit ribosomal RNA", at positions 341 to 792 of the family's 1533-position model.